RNAcentral lists this ribosomal RNA (468 nucleotides) under uncultured bacterium. RNAcentral describes it as "partial 16S ribosomal RNA". It matches the Rfam family "Bacterial small subunit ribosomal RNA", at positions 28 to 507 of the family's 1533-position model. The record is from RNAcentral.
GACGAACGCUGGCGGCGUGCUUAACACAUGCAAGUCGAACGGAAAAGCCCUGCUUUUGUGGGGUGCUCGAGUGGCGAACGGGUGAGUAACACGUGAGUAACCUGCCCUUGACUUUGGGAUAACUUCAGGAAACUGGGGCUAAUACCGGAUAGGAGCUCCUGCUGCAUGGUGGGGGUUGGAAAGUUUCGGCGGUUGGGGAUGGACUCGCGGCUUAUCAGCUUGUUGGUGGGGUAGUGGCUUACCAAGGCUUUGACGGGUAGCCGGCCUGAGAGGGUGACCGGCCACAUUGGGACUGAGAUACGGCCCAGACUCCUACGGGAGGCAGCAGUGGGGAAUAUUGCACAAUGGGCGGAAGCCUGAUGCAGCAACGCCGCGUCCGGGAUGACGGCCUUCGGGUUGUAAACCGCUUUCGCCUGUGACGAAGCGUGAGUGACGGUAAUGGGUAAAGAAGCACCGGCUAACUACGUG